AGGUGAAGGCAAUUCAGCUGUGCUGCUGGAAGGGGUGGAGCCUGGUUCCACCACUCCUAGACCUAUUUAAGAGCUGGCUACCAGAGGGGAAGGAUCUCUUCUGGAGAUCACCUCUCCUGGUGUUUUCUGGUGAGCUCAGCUGAAGGGGCAAAACAGAACUUGAAAUGCUUCCGAAUGUCUUCAGAAGACAGAAGGGAACCUAAAGUCUUUCCCUUACUCAUCAUCAGCGCACAUGUGGGACAGGGGGGUAAAAUCCAUACCAAUUUCCAGCCCUCUCUCAUGUCUCCUAUUAUCAGUGCUUUGCCCUGUGUGCUCCAUCCACUGGAACAGCUGCCUUCUCUUCCCACCCGCUCCAUCACUUUCUCAUCUCCCAAAGCCUGGGUUCCUCACCCAGGCCAGGAUGACCAGGAUACAUCCACCACAACUUACAUAUGGAGCUGAGGUUAUCUGCAUGCAGCAAAAGAAUAAAGGCAGCAGAAGUUUGGUACGUAUAUACAAUGGAAACUUGAUGGGGAUAGUGGGAACUCACAUGCAUGUGCCAUCUGCAGGUUGAACAACUGUGUUCCAGUGAACAAAAGGCAGAGUUGGACUCCAUGACCUUUGUGGGUCCCCUCCAACUCAGAAUAUUCUGAGGCUGACAGUGGUGAGAAAUAAGUCACCACUGGGCAUGAGAUAAAAGCACCUGUUGCUUGGAGAGGAUUGCAGGGAAAAGUGACCAUGUGUUUAUAUCAUAUUAUGCAAAUGCAUACGUUUUAUGUAAAUGUAUGCAAAACAUAUACUAGGAGGCUCAGACUAUCACAGGAAAGAAGGGGCCAGAUGCAAGACAGCUGAGAAGAGCUGAUUUCAUGCAGCAAAAAGUUCCCAGACUUGCCCAGCUCAGCCUCCAAUCUGCUGGAGUGGCUCUCAAACUCACCACAGCCCUGCUGGCCACUGUUUUGCUGAUUCCCAGGCAAGGCAUCAAUGCCAGAGAUAGAUGGCCAGUAAGUAGUCUGUUGUGAAAUCUAUUCCUAACAUCAUACAACGUGGUACCGAUUUAGCCAUAGUUCACUCAAUCAACAUGUAAUGCCUUAUCCUUUUCAUGCCUAAGACUUUUUUUCUUUGAGUGCUUACUUUGCAGCUGGGUCUUCCAUUUGCUCAUUGCACCAUUAAGUUCUUUAGCUGAAGACAACCAGGGUCAUUCCCUGAGAGCUCACGGCUUCAGCUAUGGACUUCUGCUGGAGACCGGACCUAUUGAUUUCACCGGAGUCACCCUAUUAACCAGCAGGAAGCAGCAAGAGGAUGUGGGCUGUGUCAUAUACAGCACUAUAGCAAAAAUCUGGACCUCACACCACCCCUUUCAGCUGGGCAGCCCACUUCUAACAGGGAGAAACUUACGAUCGUCACUGAAGUCGUCCACCAGUAUGAUUUCAUGGAUGAGGUGCACUGGGGUGCGGUUCAUCACACUAAAAGACAGAGAGAGAAAAUCUUUGGCAGCGUUUGACCAACUCAUCAGCCCAGAAGAUGGGAAAGAAAAGCUUGGGAACCAGUCUUUGCAAAAGAAUGGCCAGGCUUGUGUUUCUAGAAAGAUAUAAGAGAAGACCCAGAAACUGGUCUCUGCUUCAGUAACCUGCAUUGCCAAGCUAUCAGCUGCCCGCAGCUUAAUCCAACAGCUAAGCAUCUGAUACUCUUGGGAAGUAGAUGGGAUUCACCCUUAUCACCAUGGUGAGCAAAAGAGAGCAGCCCAGAACACCUGGAGGAAGAGGCCUCAUCUACAUGCAUGUUGCACCAAAUUCCCUUUCUGUCAUUUUCACAUCUCUAAUUGGGUAAAUGGCAUGGUGUCCAAUGCCAGCCAGGCCAACACAGAGAAAAUAACCCAGCUAAAAACAUCAUUACACAGCUCACAGCCAUGGCAGGGCAAUCGUUUUUAUCAUUGACCUAGUGGUGCUUCAAGGGUUGCAGAAAGGAUAAGAACAGAGUUGUAGCCCUCCAGCUCCAUGAAAGAAAAGCUGGAAGAUGUGGUCUACAGGUCCCUCCACAUGUACAGUCACUGCAAGGUGUGUCUGAAAGCUACAACCUUCCCUUAAUUAUAUCAAGGUGGUUUUUUUGUAUUAUCAUUAAAAUUACUGGGCCUGAUCUUCCCCUCUCUAGCACAGCACAGAAGUCAGCAGAACUAUACAUAUGUAAAAUCCUACUGCUAUCAAGGGUUAAGGCUGAGCUCUUGAAGCACUGCCCUCUGGGCUUCCCAAAAUCUCUUAAAUGCUGUGUCUGGACACUGGUAACACCAGCCACUGCCACAUGAAAACUCUUAUCAACAGGUUUCCCCAGCUUUUCAGGUUCCCAAACCCCCAGCAAAAAGCUGGAAAAUCCGGAAAACUGUGCUCCUAUUCCAGACCUCUGGGGAGUGCUGCAGAAGGCAGGAAACACAGGGACCUUGGUGGUCUCACAGCACUGGACACCUGAGAACGUUCAUCAAAAGGACUGCAUGGUGCCAUAUGGUAUGGGACAUCCCCAUGGCUGUCUGGGGCAGCUGUCUUAUUUCUGUCCCCUCCCAUCUCCUUGAGCCCCCAGCUCCUCACUGACAGAGCAGUAGGAGAAGUUGGGAAGUCCUUGACUUUGUGCAAGCAUGCAAGUACAGCUCAGCAACAACUGCAACAUCUGUGUGUAUCAAAAUUGUUUUUCUCCUAAGCCUCAAACACAGCAUCACACCAGCCACUAUGAAGAAAAUUAACCCUAUCUCAGCCAAAACCAGGACAACCUCCAAGCCCAGAACUACUUUCCCUGCAGUGACUAUGGAAACAUAUUCUCAGCCUCAUCCAGUUUCAGGACCUGGACAAAAGCCAUAGUUUUCAAAGAAUCAUAGAAUCAUUAAGGUUGGAAAAGACCUCUAAGAUCAUCAACCAUCAAUGUAUCGCCACCAUGUCCACUAAUUCCCAUGCUUCACACAUUUCUCUCAUUAAGGUUGGAGGGGGGGAAAGAAAGCUAGGGCAUACAGAGCCAGUUAGAUGUGCUGUUCCCACCUGUCAAGUAUGUUUUAAUUAUUAUUAUUAAUAGGUUUGUUAUUUUAAAAAAUAUAUAUAUAUCCCCAUAUGUGACAGCUGAAUUCAGCAAAUUACCACAGCUGAGAGUCAGCAAGGGAGAGACAGGAGAGCAAUAUCACGCUCAGUGGAAUAUUUAACAAGCUCUGAUUGCCUGGAAAGCUAACUUGGUGAAACCUGCAGGAAAAAAAAUAGCAGCCUUGUAAAAAAGCCAGCAAACAGCCUGCUGAGAGUGGAAGCGGGGAGGAGUGAGUAGCAUGAAUAUCCAAAGCCUGCAUCCACCCAGCCUCCUAUGCAGCUUUGGCUACCAGAAGUGCAACGCGGGGCUGAACUCUACAGGCAGGUGAUGUCUGUAAGGAUAAGUCAGUGAAAGCCACUACACUGGGCUGUAUUUGCAGAUCUGAGCACUUAGCAGUGUUUGGUGCAUUGGAAAAAUUACCCCAGGGCACCCAUUUAUGAAAGAAGAACCAGAAGGGACAGCUUUCAAGGAGUGCCUACAGUGCCAGCAGCCUGGGACAAACCCUGUUCUUCAGGUUGCCACCCCAUACAUUGGAGAGGGUGCCCCUAAUGCUGUGCACAACACCUUCAGCAGUGGUGGUCACCGCUUUAUCCUGUCUGGGCAUCUUCUGAUCUUCUGCAUCUUGGGGCUCCCUGCCCAAAACUAAGUUCUCACGUGCUUCAGGUUUCACAACUGAAGGCUUUGCUGUUGACCACCGCCUGCUUUUAUUUUUCAUGCAGUCUCCAUAAAGGGUGCCACAGGUGUGGUGGGAUCUCUUCCAGUUAACUGCAACUACAGGCAUCUAAAAUUUGGGACUCCAACAAGUUUACCUCUUAGUCAUGGAGCACAUCUUCCAAGCAUGGAUCACCCCAACUUAAGUUAGUCAAGUGGAAGCCUCUGUUUUCCCUGUGUGAUUAAUCCCGUUCAGUUGAUUUGGAGGAGUGACACCAUCCUAAAGCCCAACUAAGAAAGUUCUGAAGAGUGUGUUCCAGAGAUCUAUCACAGCUUUAAGGGACCUGAUGUUCACUGAUUUUUGUGGGCUUUGGACUCAUUACCACCCUUGCCAAUAUGUCCAAAGCCACCUGCAAGCCCCAAAUGGCUUUCCAGCAAAGCCAAAUUCACAUCUCCAUUACAUUUUCUACCUUCUUCAGGAAGAACUGGAAAACAGAGACACUGAAUCCUUCACGUUUUUGACAUUAAGGGAAUUUUUAAAGGACAGUCUACAAAGCAUUUUUAAAAAUCUAAUACCAGCUUUUCUACUUCAUGGAGCUUUGCUUAGCUUUGAUUUUGUUGUUGUUAUUCUAUAUUUUUAUCUUCCUUUGUGUGUGUGUGUGUGUGUACUUUCUUUUUCUUUUGCAUUUAUAUGGGUAAAAUCCCAAGACAAUAUUAUAGUGCUUUGAAGUCCUUCCAUUAUUUAUGGAUUUUCUUCUCCUUGAAAUCAAACGUAGGUAGAUUUGCUGCAGUGAUGGACAUAUUCUAGCAAAUCAAAACAGCUUUUAAGUUCUGUGGAGCUCGAGAGCACAAUACUUUCUUUCUUAAACCACUCUCAAUACAAAAAAAAUCACGGCUUCUAGUGCUUAAGCUUAUUCAACUCAUUAAGAAUGGAUUCUCUGCUGAAUAAUCUUGCAAAGUUAGUAUGGAAAUGUUCUUUGUUUCAGUGGAUUGAGCAGAUAUUAUGCAGAUGUAACCAUGCAGAAUUUCACACUAAGUUUUCACAAUCAAAUCCAGUUCUACUCCUCAGCAUCUUAUGGAAUCAUAGAAUGGCUUGGUUGGAAAGGAUCUCAAAGACCAUCCAGUUCCAACACAGGCAGUUCCACAGGCAGAGUGGCCAACCACUAAAUCAGGCACACCAGCUCAAGCUGCCCAGGCUCCAUCCAACCUGGCCAUGAACAUCUCCAGGGCUGGGGCAUGCACAUGCACAUCUGGCCAACCCAUGCCAGCACCUCAUUGCUCUCUCAGUAAAAAAUUUCCCCAACAUUUUGUUCAGAUCCUUUCCAGUCUGCCUAAAGACAAGCAUCAGAUCCAAGAACUCCCAUUUCAAACAUCUACCCGUGCAAAUCUCAUCCUGACUCAUAAAAAGUGUUGUCACAGAGCAGUUCAAACUCUCUGACAGAAGGUUGGCAUUUUUUUUUCUUUUUUGGUCACCCAAAACACUAGUUGCUUUGCAGAGGUGGCUUGUGGACAUUAACCUCUGAACCUGUUAAUUCUCUCCAUGGCAACACAGUGGGACUUAGGGAAAAAUGAAAAGAGAAGGGAGAAAGACAGAGAGAGAGCUUUUGGGAGUAAAAUUGAGCCCUGGAGGGACCAAAGGUCACAAUUAUCAAAAUCAGGAUGAGAGCAAGGAGAGGAAAUGCUCACCAAAAUGAACUGCUUCAAUAAAUGAAAAUGACUAAUUAUGGAGGUAGAGAGACAUCACACCAAGAAUAACCAUAAUGAGCUUUGAUUACACUGCAGCUCUCACAUUUUAUUCUUUCAAAUACCCACCACACUCUUUGAAAUUCAAGAGUUCUCUUAUGUUAACAUCAAAAGGUAAAAGUGCUCUUGGCACUGUGUACUUAGUCACUGUGAGAGAUGAUUAGCAAAUUAAAAAAAAAAAAAAAAGUCCAGGGCUUAAGCAAAAUAAAUAAAUAAAUAAAUAAAUAAAAUACCCCAAAGUGCUAAUUAUACAGUUUCUGAGCAACACCUGGCUUGUUUUUGCUCCUUUAAUCAGCCUCACUUCAGUUAUGGCACAGAAUCUGUACGGUGCUACAUGCUGUUGGAGGAAGGAGGUGUUGGCUCUGCUAUUUCCCUGCUCUGAGAGCACUGGAAUGCAGGCAAGGUAUCUGCACGUGAGCAGGAGUGAGGUGUUGGUUGUGCAGAGCAUCACCCUUCUUUCUUGCAAGCGCCAGGAAAGUGACAGGUGUAAUAUUCUACCCUCUAAUUAGGGAUCUAAAUAUUGGAUGUGGUAUUCACAGCACUCGCACUGGGAUGCCUGCCAAAGGACAUGCUUUGGUUUGUCAGCACAAGGUAAAUAAUGAAGCCUCCCUGUUCCUGCUCUGAGGUCUCCAGCUGCAAAUCUGAGGAAUAAAUAUAUGAAUAAAUCAAUCUCCUCAGUGGAGAAGGGUGGAGAGAGAAGGAGAAAAAGACACUGAAAUUAUCCUUAAAGGGGGUCUCUGUAUGGCAGCUUCUUUCCCUCAUUCCUCCUGGGGUUUACACAUGCAGUCCCAUUCCAUGCUACUGACGAGUCACCACCUUUAUUGCAGUAAGCCUUAGAGCUGGACACAGGUGAAAUUGAACACAGAUGCAAAAUAAGAGACUUACUCGAGGUCACUACAAAAGUGAGCAGCUCCAAUAAGAACCCAGCAGUAGUUUCCACAAAUGUGAAGAACCACUUUGCUAUUCACCAUCUCUUUCCCUCUGGACAGUUCUCUUCUGUGGUAUGAUACUCAGUCCUUACUACCUGGGCACUUUCAGGUAUAGCAAGCAUAGCUGCAUACACAUUCACAGAUGCUGACAACAUCAUUUGCAGAGAUUUGGGCAUACCAUUAGCUUAGCUUUUGUUGUUUUUUUUUUUUUUCUCAUUCUUCCAACUGGCAAAUGGCCAGAGAAAGGAUCACAAAACCUUUAAUUAAUCCAUUAUUCCACACAGCCUGCUGGCUUUUCUCAGCAGUUUGGAUGACGCAAAUGGCUCAUCAGCAAAGUGUAGCAAACGCCUGUGACGUGUCUGGUGUAAGGGCUGCUGCAGAGGCUGCAUGCUGGCAUCUCUGCGUCAUGGGCUAGAGCAUUGCCAUCUCUAUCAGGAGCCAAGUGCAACCACAGAACCUGCUAUGCACCUCAGCCUCAGUGCAUGUUGGGCUUUUGGGAUCCCAAGCGAACACGGCAGGGCUGAAAUCUUGGCAAACAAGAGCUACCCCUAUGUAUCUACACGACCUUAGAGCCUACAGCUUGUUGCUAUAGGAAUAGCACCAUCCUUCCUCUCAUAUACACGGUCCUGUGAGAAGUGCUCCCUGGUGCCCUGGUUUGGACAAGCCCAGCGAUCACCCUUGGCACAAUUCCUUCCUCCUGCAACUGAGGUUAAUAGGCAGCGUUCAUUCUGCAGCAGAGGGGGAAACUUAACUCACUCAGGAAACCAGGUGUGUAAUUGCAAAUCUUCCACCAGCUUCCAACAAUCACCUCUCCGUUCCUCACCUGCCACCUGGGUUAUAUCAAGAGUGCACCAUGGGGAUGUAGUGAUGAGAAUGGGGACAACUGCUGCAUGCAGUGUUUUGAGGUACUUGGUCACAAACUGUUCCAAAAGGCAUAAAGCAGCUACAGGAGGACAUGGUUUGUUUGUCUGGCCAAUGGAAAAUGAUCCAUGCUGUUACAGCCACCAUGGGAUGGAGUUAUCUGGAAGACCUAAUUAAACUAAGCAUUUGCUUCUACAGAUCAGUCAGAAGGCACAGCAAAUGAACCCACAGAGGAUGAAGAGGCAGAUGAACUCUCAGCUGGGUCCAACCACAGGCAGAGAGAUGGCAAUACAAGCACAGUCAUGGCCAGAGGGGAGCAAGGCAGGAGCCAUGUCACAAGGAAGACUUGCUACUAAGGGCUGGAGGGAUCACAGCAAACCCCAGAGUGCUGUUUCCAAAAAGAAAACAGGAAAACUUGUUGCUGGAAGGUCAUCUCCAAACCACAGGAAUUAGGAGAAAAAGUGCUAUUUCCUAAAGGUCAGCUCAUGAGUGCACAGCAUGGCAACUACAGAGAGGCAGGGGGAACCAGGCAUAAUGUCUAACAUCUCUCAUGUGGCAGCAUCAUUCCUGAUCAUAAUUGCCAGCAGAGUGAAGUGCCAAGGUAUGGGAGAGAUGAGGCUGAAGUCUGUCCCCACACUUCCCACAUUAUAGAUGCUCCAGAGGACUGUGCUUGACUUUGCCUUGCCAUCCCUGUUACAGUGGAGUCUGGAAGAUGAUAGCCCCAAGCAGGGCACUGUAAACGUAAAAGAAAAGGUUCAGCAUGAAGGACUUGGUACAUAAUAUGAAGUGUCAGUGCUGUGCACACCCAAAAUCCAGUCACCCUAGACAGAGAAAGCAGUAAUAGGUUAUUAAGUGUGAAUUGAAGGAGAUGGGAUUGGGCAGAAAACCAUAAAGCAAAGCAGGAAUUCAAUUUUAGGACUGUCAAACUCGCCUGUGGCAUGGAGUGCACCCACCUGAGGAUGGAUGCUGCUUCUAGAGGAGUGCUUAUUCAGGAUGUGACGGUGAACACGGCAGGGCUGAAAUCUUGGCAAACAAGAGCUACCCCUAUGUAUCUACACGACCUUAGAGCCUACAGCUUGUUGCUAACCAAGUCUUCACUAUGUGAGCAUGGAACAUAGCUGUGAAAUGUUUAUUAUUGUCAGACAGCAGAGAACUUUCCUUAAAAGAAGAUACCAGCUGGGACCUGGACACAGGCCUCUCAAAGGUGUGAUGGACACAUUUCAUUAUAUAUUCCCUCAAGUGCAGCAAGGCACAUGCUGGGAUUAAACACUGAUUUUUAAAUUCUGCAGUGGAAAUGAAGCCUUUGUCUCUAACUGACUACAGCAAAAUCUAGCCAAGAACAAACCGACAAAUUAAAGAAUGGCCACGUUCCCAGAGCAUUCCAAAGUGCACCCAGAAGAGAACAGAAACUAUCCUUGAAAAUCUUGUCUGCAUGUGUACUAUUAGAGCUUCUCAAUUAGUAAAGCCUUUCUGGCAUUGGAUGGCUCAGUGGAGAAGCUCAAGCAGCAAUACCAGAGCAGAUUUGCAGAAUGAUGACCACCCCUAGGCAACAGGGACAGCACAGAGCUGAGCACUGGUACCCAGCUGCAUUUAAAACUGUUAUUCCAGGCUCUGUAAUAAACUUUUGCCUCUCCUCUCAGACAGCCCAAUACUAGACCGGAAAAGCAAGCACAACUACUUGCUUCCCAAGCACCUCUCUGUAAAACCUACUUCUCAGAGACCAAAUUUCAUGCUAAUUUCCCCUGGUAAUUGUGCUCAUAGCUGGUGGGUCUAUUCACUUUGCUGCAGUGAGUGCUGGCACAUUCUGCCUUUCUUCACAGAAAGCUCAAGCCUACUCACCCUUUCUAAAAGCAUUUACGACUAUGCUUCAGGAGACAGA
Molecule: long non-coding RNA, 9096 nt
Organism: Lagopus muta (rock ptarmigan)
Lineage: Eukaryota; Metazoa; Chordata; Aves; Galliformes; Phasianidae
Exons: 5
Source: RefSeq, a predicted model, not a curated record